This is a long non-coding RNA of Etheostoma cragini (Arkansas darter), 70 nucleotides long. RefSeq lists it as uncharacterized. The record is from RefSeq and is a predicted model, not a curated record. Lineage: Eukaryota; Metazoa; Chordata; Actinopteri; Perciformes; Percidae. The transcript is spliced from 3 exons.
GAGAUUAUGAUGGGAGAUGGUGUCAGACUUUAAUCGUUUCAAAGUCUUUGCAGAGUCUUCUAGUAUAUGG